This 406-nucleotide ribosomal RNA is filed under the name uncultured bacterium. RNAcentral's name for it is "bacterial SSU rRNA". It matches the Rfam family "Bacterial small subunit ribosomal RNA", at positions 541 to 949 of the family's 1533-position model. The record is from RNAcentral.
UUAUCCGGAUUUAUUGGGUUUAAAGGGUGCGUAGGCGGUUUGAUAAGUUAGAGGUGAAAUCCCGGGGCUUAACUCCGGAACUGCCUCUAAUACUGUUAGACUAGAGAGUAGUUGCGGUAGGCGGAAUGUAUGGUGUAGCGGUGAAAUGCUUAGAGAUCAUACAGAACACCGAUUGCGAAGGCAGCUUACCAAACUAUAUCUGACGUUGAGGCACGAAAGCGUGGGGAGCAAACAGGAUUAGAUACCCUGGUAGUCCACGCAGUAAACGAUGAUAACUCGUUGUCGGCGAUACACAGUCGGUGACUAAGCGAAAGCGAUAAGUUAUCCACCUGGGGAGUACGUUCGCAAGAAUGAAACUCAAAGGAAUUGACGGGGGCCCGCACAAGCGGAGGAACAUGUGGUUUAA